RNAcentral lists this ribosomal RNA (294 nucleotides) under uncultured bacterium. Its description in RNAcentral is "partial 16S ribosomal RNA". It matches the Rfam family "Bacterial small subunit ribosomal RNA", at positions 29 to 351 of the family's 1533-position model. The record is from RNAcentral.
AACGAACGCUGGCGGCAGGCCUAACACAUGCAAGUCGAACGCCGUAGCAAUACGGAGUGGCAGACGGGUGAGUAACACGUGGGAACGUACCCUUCGGUUCGGGAUAACUCAGGGAAACUUGAGCUAAUACCGGAUACGUCCGAGAGGAGAAAGAUUUAUUGCCGAGGGAUCGGCCCGCGUCUGAUUAGCUUGUUGGUGAGGUAACGGCUCACCAAGGCGACGAUCAGUAGCUGGUCGAGAGGAUGAUCAGCCACAUUGGGACUGAGACACGGCCCAAACUCCUACGGGAGGCAG